GCCUGGGAGGCUCAGUCGGUUGAGCGUCCGACUUCGGCUCAGGUCAUGAUCUCACAGUUUGUGGGUUCGAGCCCCGCGUCGGGCU
Molecule: non-coding RNA, 85 nt
Organism: Felis catus (domestic cat)
Lineage: Eukaryota; Metazoa; Chordata; Mammalia; Carnivora; Felidae
Source: Rfam